Non-coding RNA from Trichonephila inaurata madagascariensis, 70 nucleotides. Lineage: Eukaryota; Metazoa; Arthropoda; Arachnida; Araneae; Nephilidae. The record is from the annotation of a GenBank genome assembly.
GCCCGGCUAGCUCAGUCGGUGAGAGCACGAACUCUUAAUCUCGGGGUCGAUAAGUUCAACCCGUUGGGCG